Molecule: ribosomal RNA, 468 nt
Filed under: uncultured bacterium
Lineage: Bacteria
Description: partial 16S ribosomal RNA
Rfam family: Bacterial small subunit ribosomal RNA
Source: RNAcentral
UACGCACGCUGGCGGCGUGCUUAACACAUGCAAGUCGAACGGAAAGGCCCUGAUUUUGUGGGGUGCUCGAGUGGCGAACGGGUGAGUAAAACGUGAGUAACCUGUACUUGUCAUUGGGAUAACAUCAGGAAACUGGGGCUCUUAUAGGGUAGGAGCUCCUGAUGCAUGGUGGGGGAUGGAAAGUUUCGGCGGUUGGGGAUGGAAUCGCGGCUUAUGAGCUUGUUGGUGGGGUUGUGGCUUACCAAGCCUUUGAAGGGUAGCCGGCCUGAUAGGGUGACCGGCCACAAUAGGACUGAGAUACGGCCCAGAAUGCUACGGGAGGCAGCAGUGGGGAAUAUUGCAUAAUGGGCGGAAGCCUGAUGCAGCGACGCCGCGAUCGGUAUGACGUCCUUCGAUUUGUAAACCGCUUUCUCCGGUGACGAAGCGUGAGUGACGGUAAUGGGUAAAGAAGCACCGGCUAACUACGUG